GAUGAACGCUGGCGGCGUGCCUAAUACAUGCAAGUCGAGCGAACAGAUAAGGAGCUUGCUCCUUUGACGUUAGCGGCGGACGGGUGAGUAACACGUGGAUAACCUACCUAUAAGACUGGGAUAACUUCGGGAAACCGGAGCUAAUACCGGAUAACAUAUUGAACCGCAUGGUUCAAUAGUGAAAGGCGGCUUUGCUGUCACUUAUAGAUGGAUCCGCGCCGUAUUAGCUAGUUGGUAAGGUAACGGCUUACCAAGGCAACGAUACGUAGCCGACCUGAGAGGGUGAUCGGCCACACUGGAACUGAGACACGGUCCAGACUCCUACGGGAGGCAGCAGUAGGGAAUCUUCCGCAAUGGGCGAAAGCCUGACGGAGCAACGCCGCGUGAGUGAUGAAGGUCUUCGGAUCGUAAAACUCUGUUAUCAGGGAAGAACAAAUGUGUAAGUAACUGUGCACAUCUUGACGGUACCGGAUCAGAAAGCCACGGCUAACUACGU
This 496-nucleotide ribosomal RNA is filed under the name uncultured bacterium. RNAcentral's name for it is "partial 16S ribosomal RNA". It matches the Rfam family "Bacterial small subunit ribosomal RNA", at positions 28 to 506 of the family's 1533-position model. The record is from RNAcentral.